GAUGAACGCUAGCGGCAGGCCUAACACAUGCAAGUCGAGGGGUAACAUAGAAAAGCUUGCUUUUCUGAUGACGACCGGCGCACGGGUGCGUAACGCGUAUACAACCUACCUUUUAGCGGGGAAUAGCCCAGGGAAACUUGGAUUAAUGCCCCAUAGUAUAUAGACUUCUCCUGAAGUUUAUAUUAAACAUUUAUGGCUAUUAGAUGGGUAUGCGUCCUAUUAGUUAGUUGGUAAGGUAACGGCUUACCAAGGCAGCGAUAGGUAGGGGUCCUGAGAGGGAGAUCCCCACACUGGUACUGAGACACGGACCAGACUCCUACGGGAGGCAGCAGUGAGGAAUAUUGGACAAUGGGCGAGAGCCUGAUCCAGCCAUGCCGCGUGCAGGGAGACUGCCCUAUGGGUUGUAAACUGCUUUUACAGAGGAAGAACCACCCCCACGUGUGGGGGUUUGACGGUACUCUGCGAAUAAGGAUCGGCUAACUCCGUG
This 487-nucleotide ribosomal RNA is filed under the name uncultured bacterium. RNAcentral describes it as "bacterial SSU rRNA". It matches the Rfam family "Bacterial small subunit ribosomal RNA", at positions 28 to 507 of the family's 1533-position model. The record is from RNAcentral.